GCUACGGUGGUCUAGCGGUUAGAACGCUGGCCUUGUAAUCCUGGGGUCUCGGGUUCGAUUCCCGGCGGUGCCU
Non-coding RNA from Zootermopsis nevadensis, 73 nucleotides. The record is from Rfam. Lineage: Eukaryota; Metazoa; Arthropoda; Insecta; Blattodea; Termopsidae.